This is a long non-coding RNA of Strigops habroptila (Kakapo), 6020 nucleotides long. The record is from Ensembl. Lineage: Eukaryota; Metazoa; Chordata; Aves; Psittaciformes; Psittacidae.
UAGUAAUUGCAUGGUUAAGACACUUAACCUUAUGUUAAGUAUCAUACAAAAUUAAAUUAGUGUUUCUCUCCACUCCUUUAACUGGUUUUACUUUAAUUCUUUUUAUUUCAAUUUGAAAGAACUUGCUCUUUCUUUACGUGGAUUUUAAGUACCUGAACAGUUUCCUUGCACAUCUUUCAUCUGGAACUAUCAAACUCUUAACUAUCUCCACUUCCUCCUUCAUGUUUAAUCUAUUCGUAUGUGACUGCCUCCCACUUCUUGAAGUUACUAGCCCAGUUUUAAUGAGAACAGGAUCUGUAUUUUAACUAAACACAAAAGUCAUCCUUUAUGUAGUGCCAGAUACAUCAUACAGAUCACAUUGGGACUGUAAUUUUUGCUGCCAUAUUUUAGUUUAAUAUAGAAACAUCUGCAUCUAUUUCCUUUUCCAUUUUAAAUUCCACUAUCUCGUUCUGUCCUCACUGACUGAGACCGAUUGAUCUUUGUAUCUUAAUAAUAUUCUUCAUCUUGAGUCACUCCUUAUUCAUUUCAGAUUCUAAAGUUACCACUUUACUACACACUUACAAUAAGACCAGGCCAUGUUUGCUUUCGUAACUUGUAUAGAUUUUGCACUGUUGCACAUAUGUACAUAAUAGCCUUUUCCUGUUUGAAUGAGCAAGUACGUGUGGGAUCUGAAGAGCUGAAUGGAAAUAACUUAUGUGUCUCUCAGAUAAUGUUAGCCAAAAACUCACGGUAGCUGAAUAGACACUGGACAUCUCCCAGUCUGGGCCACGUGCCACGUCAGUUAUUAAAUCAUGUGUGUUGAACCAUCACUCAGUUGUUUUCAGGAAAAAUGAUGUAAGGCACAAAAGUGCCACAUGGCACUAGAGAUUACGUGAAUCCCUCGGUUUGGCAGGGGCGAGAGCUGCAAGUGACGUAUUAACAUACUGUGUUGGAAAAUCCUGGUUUUCAGCACAAAAAGAUUGCAAAACCUGAAAUUUGGUACUGACUCCGAAUUUGAGCCAACUAUAGCAGGGAAGUUGGCAUCCUUUAACAGAUUAAUGAUGCUCUGCUUUGUGGCAGACCGCACUGCUGUAUUUCCCGUUGGUGCUCAAGCAGUAGUUUAGGCUAUCUUCUUCACGCAGGAUGAACUGUUUACUACUGUUGUUCUGUGUGCACAAUACAAGCCCAAGACAAUAUGGUCUAAGGUAAAAUCUAAAUUUCUUCACUUUUACAAGGGAAUUUUCUCACAAAGAGCUUGAAUGCUUGCUAUCGGACUCCUUCUACAUGUGCUAAUGAUAAUGUGAUAAUGAACUGACAAUGGAAUAAAUCCUUCACUGAGGCAGAUGGACAGUUAAGCUACUAAAUAAAACCACAGAAAUUGCAAAGGAUCUGAAGGUUACGGCACCCAAUCUCCUGCUCAAAGCAGGACUAUCAUCAGUGCUAGAUCAAGCUGGCUGUGGUUUUGUCCGAGUCUUGAAAGCCUCCAAGGAAGGAGAUAUCACAAGCUCUGUAGGUAAUCUCCUGAGUACCCUCUUGGUGAAAAAGUUUUUCCCAUGUCCAGUUUGAACCUGCCAACCUAAAUCUGUGAUCAUUUCUCCUUCCUAUAUUGUCUGCCACUACAGAAGACUUUGCCUCUGUCAUCUUCACAAUUCCCUUUCAAGUAGUUUUAAGCUGCUACGAGCUCCCCCUCCCUAUCCUCCUCUUUGUCAGAUUCAGGUUUAUAUACAGUGAAUAGUUAAAGGGAUGCCAUCUUAGUGCCUUUUCUGUCCUUUGUACAAAAAACCAAUAUAAUUCAAAAUCUGAACACAAUGAUGAAAUAAAACAUGUGUUUUGUGAGACUAGCAUGUGAGCAGCAUGACAUAUUGCCCCUGGGUACACAUGUGGUCUGCAUUGUAAACCAUGAUCAGCAGUUAUAAUCUAAUCAGACCUAACUUGGGCUUAAGAGUAACAGAAGGACACUUUCAUUUUCUAAAAUUAAUGAUCUGUGGGGCAUUUCAGCUUUGGUAAGACAGGAUUUUCCAAUCAUAUCCAGCCUCUGACCUAGGGAGACAGUGUAACCCUUGUCACAUUAUACGUGAAGCCCACAGUCUUGCAGUCAAACACAGCCGGAAAUGGCAGGUUGAGUCUGAGGUUGUUAGUAGCUUGUGUGAUAGAGGUAUCUCAAUUUGAAUGUGUUUACACACAGCUUGAAACAUGGUGUUCUGAGCAAGCUAGGGAACCUUGAGCAGAAGCUGGACCCACUGUGAUUUCAAAAGCAAGCAAAAGCACCCCCCACCAUGAGAAAAGGCCCCCAGUCAGACACAACAGUCCCAUGAAAGUGGUGUGAAUAAUGACCAGUGUAAAUGGAAGUUAGUGAAUAAAACCCCACUAAGGGCUGUUCUUUCUUUCUGCCUGUCAAUCUGAAGUAUUCGGUAACUGAGUAGAGCCUGAGAGGUUAGAAAGGCCAUGACAGCAUUUCCUUUUUGCAGCUAAAAUUGCUGAAAAGCAUUUCUGAAUUCUUCAUAAAAAGUGUGUGUGUGUUUCUUACAGGUUACUAAAACUUUCCCCAACACCACACUUGCUUGAUUUCCUGCUCGAUGCUUUCAUUCACCAAAGUUUUGCACUGAAUGCUGACAAAGAACCAGCAAAGGCCACAGAAAACAAAAAGGUAAUUCUGAACAUCUGUAGCCCAUUGACACACCACAGAAAGAACAUCCCUUUUAACUGCACAAAGGGAGCAUGUUAGAUGGUAUCAGACACGGUCAUUCCAUUUUAUGCACGCAGUUUAACAAUGAAACUAACUCAAAGUUUCAUCAUGCUUACAAGAAAAGGCUGUUGUGUUAUUAGCUCAUCUGAUGUACUUAUGUCCUGUCACGAUUUUUUUCAGGUGCUUUUUUAAAGACUGAACACUAUGAAUACACUGUGCUCUCAGGCACUAUAAAAUACCAGCAGGUUGAAGAGUGCACAGAGAACUUCAUCAGCUGCCACAGUUGCUUGAAAAUUGUUCGGUUUUCAGAAGAAAAUAAGUAUGAUUUUUGCUGCAGAACAUAGUGCAGGAAUCUCCUCCUCUAGCUUUUUAUGCAAUCCAUAUACACCUCUUAGUUUGAUAAAGCAUUAGAGUGGGAUUGCUAAACCAGCCAGGGCUGAGUUCUGGCCACAGAGCCUACCUUUGUCUUGCACAUCAGUAUGAAGGUAGCAUGAAACAUUCUAGCUCCUCAAAUCUGCAAGGAAUUGUAUAAUGUGAGAAGCAAAAUCAGAGUGGAACUUCCAAAGAAAUGACCUCAGGAGAAUCCAGCUGCAUCCUUCCGUAUCUUCAUGAACACCUUAUCAUGGAAUUCAUUACAUUCCAGGUUUUUACACCAUGAGUGAGCUGAGCUGAUAUUUAGAAUAUUUGAAUCUUUAAUCAGCAGUAGCACUAUUAAAUGUAGCAGCAUCAAAAAAUAUAUGGCAGUCUCUGCACAGAAAUAAGCAGUCUACUUCUUAUUGUGCAGACAAAGUGGCUGUUAAUAGCAGAUACCAAUUUCUCCACAGAAAUACACUUCAUGGCUUGCUUUCUGAGCAGAGACUUCUUGGAUUCCUUAUUCUUUUAUGCAAGAUGGAAGCAAAAAUCAAAACCUCCUUGAUUGCAAAAUAAGUAAUUGGAUUAAAUUAAACUUUAAUUGGAUUAAAUUAAACCAACUUCUGUUUAUUCUUUUGUCUUUUCUCAGACACCUUUCAAUGUGGGCUUGAUCCCCUUCAACAAAAGGGAAUGUUGAGACUGUCUGACAAGUGCUUUAACCUGUUACUCCUAUUGCCUAUCUGCUUUGCCUGAGAGAGCCACCUACACACAUCCUCCCUGCAGCCGGUGCGGAACAAGGAGUGUCUCCAAUCCCAGCCUCUGCUGAAAUUCAGUGCGAGCUUUGUAGGUGAAAAUACCACCAGAGCCAUGGAACAGGCAGAGCUGUCAGCACAGCAAUUAAGCUGUCAGGAUUCUGAUGUCUGCUGCUUUCUACCAUAAUCAUUAACUGUUUAGUUUCUUCCUUGCAUAAAGUCUCAAUUGUACUGUGAACUGUAAAACGCUAUUGGAAACUUUACCAGCCCAGCUGAAAUGAUUUUAAUUUCAUACCAGCCUAUUGUUACCUGGAUCACAUUUCACUUUUAAUACAGCAUUCCAUUUCCCCUGCAGUUUAACACACAAGGAUUUGUUAGGUUCCUGCACACCAAACUUCAUUCAAACUGAUGUCUGCUUUAGGUUAGGGGAAUAAUAGAACAGGAGAAAACAGACCUACAGAACAGACUUUAUAUAAUAUAUAAAUUUAAUAUACGUUCAACAUGUUACCAUCAUAAGUGAAGGCCAGUUUUGGAUCAUGAUCCAUUUUAUAAGGUGCUCUACAAACAGGAAAAGUUUUCUGUCUCAAAAGAUCCAUGCCCUCACUAAAAGCACAUGGGUGGUACACUUGCUCAGAAAACAUGGCCAGUAAAUUUGGCACUUCAGACAUACCACCUACUUAGUACGCCUCCUGACCACACGGAAUGUCGUAUGAUAGAAAAGCAAUGGGACAGAGCCUGGCUCUGCCACCAGAAUAAGCACAGGGAUCCUUAAUCAGAAACCCCUGAGCUUUAGCUCACCGGUGAGCCAAGAGGUGAGCAGAGCAGUGUCAUGUAAGGGAACACUGAUCAUAGUGAGGGCAGUGAAAGCAAAGGUGCAACCAUCUGUUCAACAGUUGCUAAGAAGUCUGAAAAAGAGACAGAUUUUCACUUUACAUAAGAAACCCCCUAAAUAUCAGUUGUUUGGGUUUUUUUUUCCUAAAUAUUUGGACCAAAAUAUCCAUUUAGAGAUGAAGUCUCAGUUGUGCAAUUAUAAGUGAUGCAUACACUGCCAAAAUGUGGGAGUAGGAGGCUGUGUAAGGGGAAUAAAAGAACAGAAAGAAUAAGCAAGAGCAUCCUAUGCAACUGCAUUAUUACCAGGACUUCAGGAAGAGGAAAGGACGGGCAGUUGACUCUUCUUGGAAAAGGGAAAUGUUGCAAGUUCCAUUCAGAGUAAUGGCUGGUAAAGCACUCUGCUGGGUAUCAAGUAAAGUAGCAGGUACUUGCAUUUGUAUUUCAUACACCCCAGCUGAGAAGUGGAAUGAACGGAUUGUACAGUACAGGGGAAGAUAAACACACAAAGGCAAACACUCCCCUCUUAACUCUCUCACGUUCUCUCAAGUAAAAGGUUCCAUGAAAUGCUUCAGUCAGCAGUCAUAAAGGUAAAUACACAUUUGAAGCUAGAGUCUGAUCCAGUGACAUUUAUAGCAGGAAGUAUUCCUUAUUACACUUCUGUACUAGACCAGGAGAAUACCUUUCAUUCUGGAAAUAUUUUACAUCAAAAGGUGAAAGCACCGAAGCAGAUCCUCAGCUAGAGUCAGAAAACACUGCUUCAGUGAAGUUAAUAGAGCUACGCCACUUGACUGGUGGGAAACCCGGCCACAGCAAAGCUAAAAUUGAAUAAUAAGAUGAUUUUUCUAUACAAGCUACGAGAGGAUUGAGAUCAUUAUCUUUUUCUAAUAGUUAGAAACAAUAUUUAAGGAUCCAUUUGCAAAAUGGAGCACUUAGGUGGAUCCUGUGGAGGUGCAACAGACUUUCUGUGAUCUCUGACCUUCGUUUUCACUGCCUUCACUUCAUGAAGAGCUGCUGCUGCUCUCUUGAAAUAUCUCUAUAUAAAACAUUUUAUAUGUGUGAGUCAGUCAAAUGCUAAGGAAAACUAUAAAGGUUUAGCUUCAGUGCAUGGAAGCAAUAUACCAUCAAAAGAAUUUGAUAAGGAAUACUGACUUCCCUGUUAUUGUAAUUCUGUCAUACAUUUUGCUGCAAUAUUUCAAGAAUACAACUUUUUUGCUUCUACAGUGCUAGAAACUAAAGAUGUGAAAGAUGAUCACGUAUCUUGUGCACAUUCAUCUGAAGGGGUCUGUGCAGAAAAGGGAACUCUGAUGAUGCUGGGGUUCUAGCUCAUCAAUCCUGAAAAGUGACCUUGCUCUAAUUGUUUCAUAGGAAAACUGCUGCAAAAAAUUUUCACGACAAAAGGCUCUAAUUUUGUCUUUAUCCAG